Molecule: long non-coding RNA, 342 nt
Organism: Lathyrus oleraceus (garden pea)
Lineage: Eukaryota; Viridiplantae; Streptophyta; Magnoliopsida; Fabales; Fabaceae
Exons: 2
Source: RefSeq, a predicted model, not a curated record
GAGUGGUUACAUGUGACACCCGAGGGCGAGGGAGUGGUUGUUUAUGCAUGAGGCAUGACAAUGAGACACUCCUAGCAGCUUCUAGGGGAAAAACCGAAUUCACAUCGGAAUGAGAGGGAUCCUGAGGCUAUGCAGGUAUGAGACUGCAUGGUUGAAUGAAGGCUUAUAAGGAUUAAUUGGUACUACCUAUACCAACAAGAUGCAUCUUCUUUUCGGUAGCCCAAUAGAUAAGAACUCCAUAGUUAAGCGUGCUUGACUUGGAGUAGUAUUGGGAUGGGUGACCUUCUGGGAAGUUUCCCGGAAAGUGUGUGAGUGAGGACAAAACAUGCCGAAAAGACCCGU